UGACGGUACCCUACUAGAAAGGAGCCGCUAACUUCGUGCCAGAAGCGUCGGUGAUACGGGGGGCUCCAAGCGUUAUCCGGUGUAAUAGGGCGUAAAGAAGUCGAGUAAGUGGUAGGGUAAGUUAUCUGUCAAAUAUCUUUGCUUUAACAAAGAGGAGGGGGAUAAUACUGCUCGACUAGAAUUUUCUCAAGGGAGAUCGGAACUGAGGGAGGAGUAGUGAAAUGCGUUGAUACCCUCGGGAACACCAGUGGCGUAGNCGGAUCUCUGGGAGAAGAUUGACACUGAGACACGAAAGCUAGGGGAGCGAAGCAGAUUAGAGACCUGCGUAGUCCUAGCCGUAAACGCAUGCUUGCUAGCCGCAUGAAUCUACCUUCGGGUGGUAUCGUGUGGCGAAGGUAACCCGUUAAGCAAGCCGCCUGGAAAGUACGGCCGCAAGGCUGAAAUUCAAAGGAAUUGGCGGGGAGGCACACAACCAGUGGAACAUGUGGUUUAAUUCGAGACUAACCGAAGAACCUCACCAGGGUUUGACAUGUAGCUGCACGUCUUAAGAAAUUAAGACUCUCUUGAAGGUGCUACACAGGUGCUGCAUGGCUGUCGUCAGCUCGUUCCGUGAGGAGUGCCCUUAAGUGGGACAACGAGCGCAACCCCUAUUACAUGUUAGAAAUGUCAUGUAAGACUGCCUUGCCAUUUGGCGGGGAGGAAGGAGGGGCAGACGUCAAGUCCGCAUGGUCCUUAUGCCCUGGGCUACACACAUGUUACAAUGAGUACGGCAAUGAGUCUGUCGCGAGCACGUAAGUGUAAGCUAAUCUCUUAAAUGUACUCUCAGUGGGGAUUGAGGCCUGCAACUCGACCUCAUGAACACGGAAUUGGUAGUAAUCGCGGGUCAGCUAUACCGCGGUGAUACGUUCUUGCCUCUUGCACACACCGCCCGUCAAACCAGCAAAGUCGAUUGUAUCCGAACCUC
Molecule: ribosomal RNA, 964 nt
Filed under: uncultured organism
Description: bacterial SSU rRNA
Rfam family: Bacterial small subunit ribosomal RNA
Source: RNAcentral